GACGAACGCUGGCGGCGUGCUUAACACAUGCAAGUCGAACGGUUAAGCGCCUUCCUUUUUGGUGGGUGUGGAUGAGUGGCGAACGGGUGAGUAACACGUGAGUAACCUGCCCCCUUCUUCUGGAUAACCGCAUGAAAGUGUGGCUAAUACGGGAUAUUCUGGGUCUGUCGCAUGAUGGGUCUGGGAAAGAUAUUGUUUCGGUGGGGGAUGGGCUCGCGGCCUUUCAGCUUGUUGGUGGGGUGAUGGCCUACCAAGGCGGUGACGGGUAGCCGGCCUGAGAGGGUGGACGGUCACACUGGGACUGAGACACGGCCCAGACUCCUACGGGAGGCAGCAGGGGGGAAUAUUGCACGAUGGGCGCAAGCCUGAUGCAGCGACGCCGCGUGAGGGAUGGAGGCCGUCGGGUUGUGAACCUCUUUCGCCAGUGAAGCAGGCCUGCCUCGUAUGUGGGUGGGUUGACGGUAGCUGGAGAAGAAGCGCCGGCUAACUACGUG
Molecule: ribosomal RNA, 494 nt
Filed under: uncultured bacterium
Lineage: Bacteria
Description: partial 16S ribosomal RNA
Rfam family: Bacterial small subunit ribosomal RNA
Source: RNAcentral